AUUUGGUUAAGUUAGAAAGGGCGCACGGUGGAUGCCUUGGCACUAGGAGCCGAUGAAGGACGGGACUAACACCGAUAUGCUUCGGGGAGCUGUAAGUAAGCUKUGAUCCGGAGAUUUCCGAAUGGGGAAACCCGCUGCACGUAAUGGUGCAGUAUCCAUACUUGAAUACAUAGAGUAUGGAAGGCAGACCCGGGGAACUGAAACAUCUAAGUACCCGGAGGAAGAGAAAGCAAACGCGAUUCCCUGAGUAGCGGCGAGCGAAACGGGAUUAGCCCAAACCAAGAGGCUUGCCUCUUGGGGUUGUAGGACACUCUAUACGGAGUUACAAAGGAACGAAGUAGACGAAGAAGCUUGGAAAGGCUCGUCACAGAAGGUAA
Molecule: ribosomal RNA, 377 nt
Filed under: Rossellomorea aquimaris
Lineage: Bacteria; Bacillati; Bacillota; Bacilli; Caryophanales; Bacillaceae
Description: Bacillus aquimaris partial 23S ribosomal RNA
Rfam family: Bacterial large subunit ribosomal RNA
Source: RNAcentral